Molecule: long non-coding RNA, 1026 nt
Organism: Ipomoea triloba (trilobed morning glory)
Lineage: Eukaryota; Viridiplantae; Streptophyta; Magnoliopsida; Solanales; Convolvulaceae
Exons: 3
Source: RefSeq, a predicted model, not a curated record
GCGGCUGCAAUAAUGAAGGCUACGGACAACAGCAGUAGCAUGGAACUCACCAUGAACGUCUAUCUCCCAUCUUCGUCCCUCUCCUUUCUUAGUCGGCGGCGGUAAGGCUUGCCAGCAGCAGCUACGAUGGAUCGGGAGUAUUCCUGUUUCUCCGGUGUCGAGCAGAGCAACGGAGGCAGAGCAGCAGCUGAACUGACCGAGCUCGGCAACGGAGGUUUGGCGAUGGAGCUCCAGUAGCAGUCCUCCCUCUCUGACCGGCGUAGGCAGCCGCGGUGGGCUUCUUCUCCUUGACCAGCGUGUGUAGUGGGCAGCAGCAGUUCCCUCCCCUGUUUUCCGGCGGUGCAAGGUAGCGGACGGCAGCAACGACACUCCUUCCCCGUCCAAUGCGAGAAGCAUGCAACAGUGGCGAUAUCGGCGGCGGCGGUGGACUUCGUUCUUUCUCCGGCGAGAGCAAUGCAAUGCAAUGCAAAAGGGACUUCCUUGUUCACAGCAGCAACGUCGGCAUGUCACCUCUCUCUCCCGUUUCCGUCGAUGGUGGCUGAGAGUCCAUAUAAGGGUGGUAGUUCGGUGGUGGCAGAGCAUAGCAGAAGAAGAUGGUGUGGCGUGGUGGUAGGGCUUUCACGUGUUGAGUUGGAGGGUGUGGGUUCAAAUCCUUGGGAGCUAAGUGUUGGAUUAACAUUUUUUGCUAUUAAGGUUCAUAAAUUAUGGACUUGCUAUUGAGAUGAGCUUAGAGUUGGCGAUUGCUUUUGGAUUAAUACGCUUCAAGAGGUAUGCCGUAGUCUGGGCUGAGAGCGCGAUAGAGCUAGUCUUCUAUUUUGAUAAGCUUAGACUAGUUCUUGUAUUAGACUUUUGGGCCUGUGAGCCUUAGAGAUGGAUUAUGUAUCGACUUUUACGUUUGUAUUUACCUUUUGGAUGGAUGUUUAUGGAUUUUAGCCUGUGCACCUAGGAUGGAUUGUACCUUGGUGUGGCAUGACACCCUUUAAGGUUUAUAUGCUUCCGCUAUGUUUAUGAUUAGUUUCUGAGAUC